UGGGGAAUUUUGGACAAUGGGCGCAAGCCUGAUCCAGCCAUGCCGCGUGUCUGAAGAAGGCCUUCGGGUUGUAAAGGACUUUUGUCAGGGAAGAAAAGGCUGUUGCUAAUAUCAGCGGCUGAUGACGGUACCUGAAGAAUAAGCACCGGCUAACUACGUGCCAGCAGCCGCGGUAAUACGUAGGGUGCAAGCGUUAAUCGGAAUUACUGGGCGUAAAGCGAGCGCAGACGGUUACUUAAGCAGGAUGUGAAAUCCCCGGGCUCAACCUGGGAACUGCGUUCUGAACUGGGUGACUAGAGUGUGUCAGAGGGAGGUAGAAUUCCACGUGUAGCAGUGAAAUGCGUAGAGAUGUGGAGGAAUACCGAUGGCGAAGGCAGCCUCCUGGGAUAACACUGACGUUCAUGCUCGAAAGCGUGGGUAGCAAACAGGAUUAGAUACCCUGGUAGUCCACGCCCUAAACGAUGUCAAUUAGCUGUUGGGCAACUUGAUUGNUCAGUAGCGUAGCUNACGCGUGAAAUUGACCGCCUGGGGGAGUACGGUCGCAAGAUU
This 549-nucleotide ribosomal RNA is filed under the name uncultured bacterium. RNAcentral describes it as "bacterial SSU rRNA". It matches the Rfam family "Bacterial small subunit ribosomal RNA", at positions 355 to 895 of the family's 1533-position model. The record is from RNAcentral.